RNAcentral lists this ribosomal RNA (730 nucleotides) under Comamonas thiooxydans. RNAcentral describes it as "partial 16S rRNA". Lineage: Bacteria; Pseudomonadati; Pseudomonadota; Betaproteobacteria; Burkholderiales; Comamonadaceae. The record is from RNAcentral.
CGUGCAUGAGCGUCAGUGCAGGCCCAGGGGAUUGCCUUCGCCAUCGGUGUUCCUCCGCAUAUCUACGCAUUUCACUGCUACACGCGGAAUUCCAUCCCCCUCUGCCGCACUCUAGCCUUGCAGUCACAAUGGCAGUUCCCAGGUUGAGCCCGGGGAUUUCACCACUGUCUUACAAAACCGCCUGCGCACGCUUUACGCCCAGUAAUUCCGAUUAACGCUUGCACCCUACGUAUUACCGCGGCUGCUGGCACGUAGUUAGCCGGUGCUUAUUCUUACGGUACCGUCAUGACCCGGGGAUAUUAGCCCCAGGCUUUUCGUUCCGUACAAAAGCAGUUUACAACCCGAGGGCCUUCAUCCUGCACGCGGCAUUGCUGGAUCAGGCUUUCGCCCAUUGUCCAAAAUUCCCCACUGCUGCCUCCCGUAGGAGUCUGGGCCGUGUCUCAGUCCCAGUGUGGCUGGUCGUCCUCUCAGACCAGCUACAGAUCGCAGGCUUGGUAAGCCUUUACCCCACCAACUACCUAAUCUGCCAUCAGCCGCUCUAGUAGCACAAGGCCCGAAGGUCCCCUGCUUUCAUCCGUAGAUCUCAUGCGGUAUUAGCUACUCUUUCGAGUAGUUAUCCCCCACUACUAGGCACGUUCCGAUGUAUUACUCACCCGUUCGCCACUCGUCAGCAUCCGAAGACCUGUUACCGUUCGACUUGCAUGUGUAAAGCAUGCCGCCAGCGUUCAAU